This 255-nucleotide long non-coding RNA is filed under the name Pan troglodytes (chimpanzee). Its description in RNAcentral is "long non-coding RNA NONPTRT003443". Lineage: Eukaryota; Metazoa; Chordata; Mammalia; Primates; Hominidae. The record is from RNAcentral.
UUUGAAAGUCCUCUCUAAACCCCACAGGGAAUAUUAAGAUAUUUAAAGGCAAAGGAUAUGGUGCAGCAAGAGAAAGAGGACUCCUGAAAUCCUAGCCAUGGGAGAGCCCCUCGGCCCUCAUGGGCCCUGAGACCAGUACAGGGAGCUACCUGGAGUCCAUAUGACAGCACUGUUCCAGAAAGUUAGGUUGCACUGGGUCCCACACACCACCCAAAAUCCAAGCAGCCACAGCACAGUGCCAUUUUGAGAGCCCAA